AGCGGCAGGCCUAACACAUGCAAGUCGAGGGGUAACAGGGAGCUUGCUCCGCUGACGACCGGCGCACGGGUGCGCAACGCGUAUGCAAUCUACCUCUUACUAAGGGAUAGCCCAGAGAAAUUUGGAUUAAUAUCUUAUGUGAUAUUAGACUGGCAUCGGUUUAAUAUUAAAGGUUACGGUAAGAGAUGAGCAUGCGUCUCAUUAGUUAGUUGGUAAGGUAACGGCUUACCAAGACUUCGAUGAGUAGGGGUCCUGAGAGGGAGAUCCCCCACACUGGUACUGAGACACGGACCAGACUCCUACGGGAGGCAGCAGUGAGGAAUAUUGGACAAUGGACGGAAGUCUGAUCCAGCCAUGCCGCGUGUAGGAAGACUGCCCUAUGGGUUGUAAACUACUUUUAUACAGGAAGAAUAAGAUCUACGUGUAGAUUGAUGACGGUACUGUAAGAAUAAGGACCGGCUAACUCCGUGCCAGCAGCCGCGGUAAUACGGAGGGUCCGAGCGUUAUCCGGAAUUAUUGGGUUUAAAGGGUCCGUAGGCGGGCUGUUAAGUCAGAGGUGAAAUGCUGCGGCUCAACCGUAUGCACUGCCUUUGAUACUGGCGGUCUUGAGUUAUAGUGAAGUGGCUAGAAUAAGUAGUGUAGCGGUGAAAUGCAUAGAUAUUACUUAGAAUACCGAUUGCGAAGGCAGGUCACUAACUAUACACUGACGCUGAUGGACGAAAGCGUGGGUAGCGAACAGGAUUAGAUACCCUGGUAGUCCACGCCGUAAACGAUGGAUACUAGCUGUUCGGUUUUCGGACUGAGCGGCCAAGCGAAAGUGAUAA
This 824-nucleotide ribosomal RNA is filed under the name Cellulophaga sp. NN014847. RNAcentral's name for it is "bacterial SSU rRNA". It matches the Rfam family "Bacterial small subunit ribosomal RNA", at positions 38 to 863 of the family's 1533-position model. Lineage: Bacteria; Pseudomonadati; Bacteroidota; Flavobacteriia; Flavobacteriales; Flavobacteriaceae. The record is from RNAcentral.